Molecule: ribosomal RNA, 468 nt
Filed under: uncultured bacterium
Lineage: Bacteria
Description: partial 16S ribosomal RNA
Rfam family: Bacterial small subunit ribosomal RNA
Source: RNAcentral
GAUGAGCGCUGGCGGCGUGCUUAACACAUGCAAGUCGAACGGAAAGGCCCAAGCUUGCUUGGGUACUCGAGUGGCGAACGGGUGAGUAACACGUGGGUGAUCUGCCCUGCACUUCGGGAUAAGCCUGGGAAACUGGGUCUAAUACCGGAUAGGACGAUGGUUUGGAUGCCAUUGUGGAAAGUUUUUUCGGUGUGGGAUGAGCUCGCGGCCUAUCAGCUUGUUGGUGGGGUAAUGGCCUACCAAGGCGUCGACGGGUAGCCGGCCUGGGAGGGUGUACGGCCACAUUGGGACUGAGAUACGGCCCAGACUCCUACGGGAGGCAGCAGUGGGGAAUAUUGCACAAUGGGCGCAAGCCUGAUGCAGCGACGCCGCGUGGGGGAUGACGGCCUUCGGGUUGUAAACUCCUUUCGCUAGGGACGAAGCGUUUUUGUGACGGUACCUGGAGAAGAAGCACCGGCUAACUACGUG